CCUAAAGCAUCCGUAGCCGGAUCUGUAAGUUUUCGGUUAAAUCUGUACGCUCAACGUACAGGCUGCCGGGAAUACUGCAGAGCUAGGGAGUGGGAGAGGUAGACGGUACUCGGGAGGAAGUGGUAAAAUGCUUUGAUCUUUCGAUGACCGCCUGUGGCGAAGGCGGUCUACCAGAACACGUCCGACGGUGAGGGAUGAAAGCUGGGGGAGCAAACCGGAUUAGAUACCCGGGUAGUCCCAGCCGUAAACUAUGCAAACUCAGUGAUGCAUUGGCUUGUGGCCAAUCGAGUGUUGCAGGGAAGCCGUUAAGUUUGCCGCCUGGGAAGUACGUACGCAAGUAUGAAACUUAAAGGAAUUGGCGGGGGAGCACCACAAGGGGUGAAGCCUGCGUUCAAUUGGAGUCAACGCCAGAAAUCUUACCCGGAGAGACAGCAGAAUGAAGGUCAAGCUGAAGACUUUACCAGACAAGCUGAGAGGUGGUGCAUGGCCGUCGCCAGCUCGUGCCGUGAGAUGUCCUGUUAAGUCAGGUAACGAGCGAGAUCCCUGCCUCUAGUUGCCACCAUUACUAUUAGCGGGACCGCCGCAGUUAAUGCGGAGGAGGAAGGGGCCACGGCAGGUCAGUAUGCCCCGAAACUCUGGGGCCACACGCGKGCUGCAAUGGUAAUGACAACGGGUCCCGAAUCCGAAAGGAAGAGGUAAUCCUUAAACAUUACCACAGUUAUGACUGAGGGCUGCAACUCGCCCUCACGAAUAUGGAAUCCCUAGUAACUGCGUGUCAUUAUCGCGCGGUGAAUACGUCCCUGCUCCUU
Molecule: ribosomal RNA, 809 nt
Filed under: unidentified archaeon
Lineage: Archaea
Description: bacterial SSU rRNA
Rfam family: Archaeal small subunit ribosomal RNA
Source: RNAcentral